RNAcentral lists this long non-coding RNA (6041 nucleotides) under Xyrichtys novacula (pearly razorfish). Lineage: Eukaryota; Metazoa; Chordata; Actinopteri; Labriformes; Labridae. The record is from RNAcentral.
UUGUGUGACACUGAGGUGAUGAGAGUGACAGCUUGUCGAUCGUGUUGCGUGAGAGUGACUUGGGUUGUUCUCAGACUCUGUGUGGUCUGGGUGUGUGGUCUCCAGCCGUCGGGCAGGGAGGAGAAUGGGAGAGCCCUGUAUGUGUGUGUGUGUGUGUGUGUGUGUGUGUGUGUGUAUGUGCGUGUGUGUGAGCGUGUAUGUGCUCUCAUGUUUACUUUAUCCAGAGUAAGGUCCAGGCUCUGCGUAGCCACGGCUUCGACUGGAGAGCUCUGCCUUCCGCCACUCAGCAGCCACGGCCUGAAAGAUAAACACACACUGCCACCACUCUGACAUUGCUCAUCUAAAAGAUCAUUUUUAUCCUUGUAUACUUAUGGUUCCUGAGAGACCUCAGGGUUAGGGGCUCUCAGGCUGGUGUGUACUCUCAGGAACUAUAUAGAGCAUAGAGUAAUUAUCUAACUGCUUUCCUUUACAUUAUUGAAUUAGACAGUAAAAGAAUUCCUCAACCGUACCUACACAAUGUACGCAAGGGACAUUUGCACUAUAAGCCUUUGUUUCUUUCUGGAAAUUGUAACUUUAAUUUCUAAUUAUUAUCCAUACACUCUAUGCAUAUGCACUAAAUUGUUGUGCACUUUACGGAUGACUUAUAUUUAAUUUAGGCCUGUGAAUUCUUGAACCCUGGUCCUUUUUUUACAGGUUAGACAUGCGCAAACAUUGGAUCACUAACUAGCGAUAGAAACACUGUUUAAUAAGUGUAUCUAACUGUGGUAAGAAAAGUUCAGUUUGCAUGGACUGACUUUGAAAUGGCAUGUUUUUGGAAGUGCAGGAUGCUUUUUAAGACAAUCAAAUUUGUAGAUGUAUUACAAAAUAAAAUGUCAUAUUCCUUAAAGGAAACCUUGUCAUCUUAAAUCUUUCAAUGCAGACCUCAUACAACCUCUAUCAUCUUCCCUGCACAUUCACAUUAAACCAGACAACUCUUCUCUCCUCUCCCACAGUGAUCUCAGGGGAAGGCUAUGUAAUGCAGCACUGCUGAGAACGCGCCAUGAAAAUAUAAAUACAACCUCGCAGCAUUUCAACCAUGUAAAUAAACAGGGCCACCCAAAUUUCCAAUUAGAGUUGGUGUGGAAGGCAGGAAAUGGAGCAGACAAGACGAGACCACACCCACUUCACUAUCCUGAACUCUCCAGGUCCAGGUCCAAGUCCAAGUCCAGGUCGAGGACAUGGAUGACUGGCAGUAAAGAAAGGAUUAACGCGAUUCACAAUCCAACUUGAGGCUAUUUUUGAACAUCUACCGCAAGCUCCAUACCUCUGAAGGAUCAGACUUACACAAGCUUCCACGAAAUUCAGAUAUGGUCAUGGAACAAAUGCAUGGAUCUAAUAUAAAUAACUAUGAAAUCACUCUAAUCUUGGUAAUACACCACAUUUUUCAUUUUCACAUUUCUCCACCUCAAGACAUUUUCAUUUUCUUCAUUUUGAGGAACUGGGCUUUACAACAGCUUACCUUAUCAUUCCCAUCAACCUUAUCAGGCCAUUCCUAUUUGGCUGAAAUGAGGCGUUCUCGCUGUCCUCCACGUCUUCUUGGAACAGCUAGGCACUGUGAUUACGCAGCAAAGCCCUGAGACCACCCAGGAGCUGGGGUCCAGUUGUGUGAGGCAGAGGCAGGGUCCUUGUUGGGAUAAGAAAGACAAGCCCUCUCUGAGGAGCGAUGGUGCUUUGAUAGCGCAGUGAAGUUUGCCUGAUAGUAGCGUGAUCAAAAGUAAGAUAGACCCGCCUGGCUCUCACACUGCUGAGCUCAUGUAGCCAUUGGGUCAAUCAGCAAACGUCACAGGUCUCAUUGGAUGAUAUAAACAGACAACAGAUUGCAAAAAAAGAUGCAGCAUGAAAAUCACUUUCGCCCCAAGGUGUGGCCACCACUUUUAAAACGUCUUUCAAUGACAUGCAGAGGACAGAGCUCAUGAAGAUCAAGUCAUUAGAAACAGUUUGAGGUGAUUAUUUUGCCGCAAGAUUAACAUACAUAUGUGGAAGUGUAUCCUGCUUAAUUGUUCCUGGAAGGCAUUGACAAAAAUACACAGAAACAGCAUCUUCAGAGCAAUCCUCCUCCCUCUGUUAUCCAGGAUUCAGUUUGAUUAGUCUGUGACUGCUGAGUCUAUUCCCUCACAGGCUGCUGUUGAGGAACCAGACAGUGUAAACAAAGGGCUUGGGAAAUCCUCUUUUGCUUUGACUUUGAGCAGCAGAACCUUUCUUUUCUAUUUUGACAACAUUGUGAAGUUUUUCAGGACACUAUAACACAUGUAUCUGAUAUUGCAUAAGGGCAUGCCCUCCUUAAGUACUGAGUGUGUCCAACAUAUCCUUAUUGUUAUGCAGAUGCAAUGAUUGACGACAGAAGUGGAACUGAAGUGUAAAUGACAUCUUAAAAACACUGGCUAUUUAUUUCUUCAAUGAGCAGACUGGAUGCCCUCUAUGACAGGGAUCUUUUUGUGUUUUGAAACCAUCAUGUUCUGCAAAAUGAUGCUCAUGUGGGCUAAUGAUGCCUUUGUGCCUUGGGGACUUUCCAUGCAAAAUUGAUAGCAAAGAAAUCCAUAUGCAUAAAAUGUGUAAUAAAAUAGGGUUGAUAGAGAGUGUUGUGGUGAGCUUAUGAAAGUCUUUCAGCAGAAUCCAACUGUCAAUCAAAAACCCUGAUUUUACCAUGUUGACAGUUAAACAUAUUCUUUAGUACUGUGGUUCUCAACUGGUCUCACUCUGGGACCCACAUUUUCCCAUGGUCCUGAAGUCGCAACCCACUUUAUUAGAAUUCAAACCAAGCAAAUUAAUUUUUUUAUAAUAAAAAAAAUCCUUGAAAGACUCAAAUCUUUAACACAAAUUCACCCGUUUUAUUGAGUAAAGUGCAUUUCAGAGCACAUGAACUGCGGAGGACAACUACUUAAGUUGCAUGUACAGAAAAUAUCAAAUAUCAAAUAAAUAUCAAAUUGCACAAAAUAAGCUAUUUUUCAAAAUAAAAGACAUGUCAAACAUCAGAUGCGCAUCAAAUAUUUACUUUUUUGACCAGCAGUUUGCUGGUCACUUUUGGGUUGGGACCCACCAGUUGAGAACCACUGCUUUGGUACAUAUUUUACGUCGGAAGCUGCCACAAGGGGGCGCUAAAGAUAGGCCAACCACCGAUUUUGUCGCUAAUUCUUAUUUUUCGGCACUUCCGUGUUACUAAUUAGCAAACCCCGGUCAUUGGUUGAAUACAGAUCCCGCCAAACCUGCGAUGUGACCCGUAUGAGAGACCUGUACGCCCAGGCCGCAGGUAUUUGGUUGACAUGCCAAGCUCAAGACGCCGUUUGGACUCACAAGCUCAGCCUGGAUUUGGCAAGUUUUAUUCUCAGUCUGGUGUGUCUAUAUGUGACACCUCUCUGUUAUUUGGACCUAAACCACAUUGACGGAUUUGGGAGUAAACAGCGUUUGGGGAUCUCAGUCAAACGAGAUGGAUAAUGAGUGGAUCACAACCUGGGUGACUAUCAGCGACCAAGGACGCCAAACCAGCUUGCGGAGAACUUCAGGGCGCACAAGAUUCAAGGAAUGAGCUUCAGACAGGUGAGUAACAACAACACCCAAACUAUGAGAGCAAUGCAACAAAGGGCUUUAUAUGUGCGCUUAAUGUGGUCAGAAGCUGUGGAGUUCAUCAUGUUUAUACAGUAUAUCCGUUUUCUGCUUAUGGCUGUUUAAUUUGUGCUGGCUUGGUGGUUGUUGCACCCGCCGCGGUGUCUUCUGAAAGAAAUAUGAUUUCUGGUUUUGAUAUUAGAUGCAGUGUUGCAGUGCUUUUUCCAUUGUUGUAAAGACUGAACCACAUUUGCUGACUUCUGCUUGGUGAUACUGGAAAUAUGAGGGAACUACAUGAGUAGAUUAAGAUUGAUCAUCUGUCAAAUAAAGGUUAACCCAUGUUUUAUUCUCACCAGGGAAAAGGAAACUAUGAGUCUGUGAGGGAAGGAGAGGUCAGUCAUAUUCCUCCUGAUAAUAGUGGGCCCAUAAGCAAGAUGGCUUCAGCUCAUAUUUGAGGUGAAUAGGCAGUACAUCAUCUGUAGUCAAGCAGAGUCCAUCAGGCCUCUCACUUGCUCUGCAGUGAUCCACAAUUUCAGGAUUUAGGCUGGCGGACAGCAAUCCAACUAUAGAAAAACACAAUAAGGCAGCAUUAAUUCGCCCCUGCAAUUACAUUCUUUGAGGUGUAAAAAAAUAAAAAGGACACUGUGAAUUUAACGCUAAUAUUGACCUUCCAUUAAAUGAGACUUAAAGCUUUCUGUCUUACUUAAAUGCUAAGAUCUUGGCAAGCCCUCUGGGGAAUGUAUUUUUAACUGCAGCGCUUUGGUUUUAACAACCUCGGUUACAACAACAUGGUGCAGGCCAGUACAGCAGGGAAACACCCUGGUGCUGGAUUAAAUGGCCUGCUGAACAUCAGUGGGAACAACAUCAAGGUGUAUUUGCCCUGAGAUUUUCAUUUGCUCUGUGAUAAUGGAGAUAACAGAUGAGCUGGUCUGUUAAUAGAAUAUGAAUGGAGCUCUUGUACAGUUUUCAUAUUGCUCGAGUGAUUUUGGUUGAUGUGAGUUUGCCUCAGAGCGAGGUUUGAGCAGCCAUGCUUGGAAAAUACUUCCAUUUUGAACCUGAUGCCAAAGUUUUUGAAUAUAUACACACAUUACAUCUAUUUUGACAUCACUUUUAUGCAACAUUUUUUAGAUUAUCUCAGAGUCACAAAUCAUGUCAGUUCUUCUGAAAAUUCGGUUGAAGUGUUUAAGGCAUGAUGUGUGGAAAUGGGUAAAAUUUGUGAUAUCUAGUGAUCAGAUUCCAGUUUACAAAUGCUCUCUUGCUCAACGAGAUGACAGAAGUUCCUGUGAUCCUUCAUUUAACAAUUGUAAACAACACAUUUCUUUCAUUGCACAGGGAAUUUAAAUUAAAUAUUCAAGCUGGGAAAUAAAAAAGAUCAUAGGGCAGGCCUUGUGUUAAACAUAUGUAUUUAAUAUAUCAUGCAGAAAUCUAUUGAAAUAGGACAUAGUUGUAUAAAAACUUGAUUUUGAGAGAUUUGAGAUUGUUUAUUCAAUCAAAUAUGCAUACAGUACAAUUUUAGACAAGAAAUUCCCUAUUAUUAAAGGAGUAGGUUGAAGCUACUUAGUUUAUAUGUACCUACCCUCAUUCCUUCCUAUUCGUUUACCCCUUACAUGUCUCUAGUUAAUCAGUGUGGCAUUUUUAAAUAUUUGACAGAGCAAGUCCAAAUAAUGCUAUCAUUUUUAUCACGAUAAUUGUUGUUAUUGCUUUUUUUUUUUUAAACUAUGUUUGCAUCUUACUGAAACUCUGCAUACUCUGUCUACCUGUAACACAGAGGACAGCUUCUUCUGUCCAGCAGGGGGCAUGGUUGAACACAUGGCUGUCAUCCUUUUAAGGACAAAUUUUACAUUGCCACAUUGUACAGUAUACUUUGUUAUUGGAAAAGGAAAUCUUCAAGACUUUCUUAGAUUACAUAUGCAAUGUACUGUCAGUGUACACAAAUGGGUGCAACAGACAGCAUGAGUGUGUGUAGGGUGAGCUCAUUGAUUUGAAUAAGCUGCUCCCUGACACAGUCUUGGCUGUGAGUGAGGGUCUAAGAAAAUGCUGCGCUUUGGCUUUCUGGAUCGGACAGUAUGAGACCUCUGAUCCGCCCUCUUUCUGACCUGCUGUGGCAUAAACAAAGCAUAUCAGCUCAUUAUUAAUGCCACUACCUCUUCCUGUGGGCAGUUCAUUUAUUACAGAUACGAUAAUCCAACAUGACUCAGCAUGCACAUUUUCAAAGUUUCCCUUAUUUCUUCCUUGAACAGUAGAGGAUUAUUUAUACUCUUACAGGAUACAAUUCAGGUCAAUCACACUUCUCUGAGCGACCUCAGCUGUUGGCAGAUGAAAAUGAAAGGAAACAUUUUGGCCAAGUGAGAAUUUGUAGACAUCAAAACAAAAAGAAAAGUCAGGCAAAUAAAUCAAGAAACAUACUUUGACUUUUUAACAUGAUACAAACUUUAUCUUUUGUGUGCAAUUGCUGCUUCCAA